AUAACACAGGUAUAAAUACCCAGGGACUCUUAGGGAAAACAGGUGACACCAGGAGAUGGGUAGAGACAAUCACAGAGACAGGUGAAACAGAUCAGGGCGUGACACUAAGUGGUUGUAUUAGGGGCGUGUCAUGUGUGUACAUGCGUGCAUUAGCAGGGCGGCCAUGGUGGAGUAUACGGGGGAUGGUUCUGGUUGGCCGGUCGAGAUCAAAGUCUUGGGUUGUUUUUUACUCCCAGUCCGUCUCUGGCUCUGUUUGUUUCUUUUUGUCUCUCACAAGGUAAAUAUCUUAGGGUUUCAGUGGGUAUUGUGUGAUUUUAGUGUAAAUUAUUAUUUUUGAAUUUUAAGUGCUCUUUAUGCUUACUUCUUCCUCUUUCAAUCAUGUAUUUAAAUUAUGAAGUUUGCCGUGGUUCAGUUCCUGAAUGAAAAGAAUGAGCCAUAUGCAGUAUUUAAACAAGUAUGGCUCAAAAGAUGACAUCUGUUAUUGGCCACCACUAAGCCUCAGAAAGAAGAACAAAAUAAAUAAAAAAUUGCAGAUACUGUCAUUUUAACUGUUAGCAUAAUUAACUUGCCAGAUGUGAAAGUGUUUUGGGCUCUGACCUGGUUCAUGCCUCUACUGAUCUAGACAAUUGGGAUACGGUACUGAUGUAUUGUAAACGGUUCCAAGCGGGUUCCAGUGUUGAAACGACAGAUGAUGAGCAAAUAAAAAAAUGGAGAACUGCAAUUAGCAAGUACCAAUUCCAGGAUUCUGAUGAAGGUGAAGAUGAGUCUACUCUUCCAGACGAACCGCCAGUCCCAUCGUAUCAGGAGUCUCUAUCGAACCAUGAAAACAUUGCAGUGCCAGCAGACUGUAGAGCUGGUAUGUAAAAUAACAUGCUUGAUUAUAUGUGAAAUUCCAUUUCUGAACAAUAAUCAGCUUUCAUGGUCAAUUUCCAUUUUUUUUUAUCGAAAACAAGUAAAUGAAGCAUUAAUCUUUUUUUUUUAAAUCCAUUGGAGGAUGUAUUCUGUCCUGCCAAAUAUUGAGGGAAUUUCAGAGGAGAAACAAGCCCCUUUAAUAAUGUAAUUUGUCUCUCAAUUAGGACAAGCACCAUACUCCACCAAAGGAGGUUGUUGGCACCUUAAUUGGUGAGGACGGGAUCGUGGUAAUGGCUAGAGCGGAAAGGGUGGACUGUUUGAUGCCGUUCCAUUUGCUCCGUUCCAGCCAUUAUUAUGAGCCAUUCUGCCCUCAGCAGUCUCCACUGUAUUCCACAGCAUCAUAUUCACCACAGCAGCAUGUGUAUGACAGCCAUGGAGAAAUCCAAGGACUCCGGCAGGAAAACAAAUUUCUGACGCACUGAGAGAAGAAGUUAAGGUGCUAAGGUGUGGGCAAGGACGUCCGGGUGGUAUCGGAUCACUGAGUGAAGAGGUGGUGCAGGUUGCUACCAUGCUAAGGACAUUUGCUGCUACUGGGCAAUCAGAUCCAAUAUAACACUUUUGCUGCGGCAUAUGGGAACAGUGGAUGAUCGAACUCUUGAGAUGGAUAACAAGAUGAAUACCUUGUUAGCCUAUCAACAGGCCAAUGGGAGCCAUUCAGCAGAACACUGAAAUCCAGGAUGCCAUGGACAAAGUGGUCCAGAUUCAAGUCACCCGUUACCUGAAAGGGGCCUCCGAUCAUGAAGGUGAGAGAAGACGGCGCACAGGGUGGAGAAAUUUGCUCCAGUGCGGGUCAACAUCAAGUCUGCCCUUAUUUUGAAGAUGUCAUCCAGAAACAGGUGUUUUAUACAACAUCCUUCUGUGUUCUCUUUAGGACUCUCUCUACAUUUGGCAAUCAUCUCUCUGCUUCCAAUUGUAUAAAAAAAGCCACAUGGCAGACCAAUCUGAACUCAUUUCUCGGCAUGUCCAGCUCAUCCAACACCUCAGCUAAUCAUGACUAGUGGGAAGGUUCCUGUAUUUUUCUAUGCUCGUAAUUUAGCAAUUGUGUUCAAAAUAUGCAUUUUGAUAAAACAAUAAAGAAAAUGAAUGCCUCACAUGUAGUAGUGAGGUUUGACAUUCAAACGGGUUUUAUUUUGUCCAUGACAUUUCUUUUUCUUAAUUUUUUUCUUUUCUAAAUUAGUAUUGUAAGCUUAGGUUUACAAAAAUAAAAUUGAUUCUUCUGUAACUUUGACAAUUAAAAAGGUGUGGAG
Molecule: long non-coding RNA, 2159 nt
Organism: Oncorhynchus tshawytscha (Chinook salmon)
Lineage: Eukaryota; Metazoa; Chordata; Actinopteri; Salmoniformes; Salmonidae
Exons: 5
Source: RefSeq, a predicted model, not a curated record